Molecule: ribosomal RNA, 746 nt
Filed under: uncultured bacterium
Lineage: Bacteria
Description: bacterial SSU rRNA
Rfam family: Bacterial small subunit ribosomal RNA
Source: RNAcentral
GAUGGUAGAGGGAGGUGGAAUUCCGGGUGUAGCGGUGGAAUGCGCAGAUAUCCGGAGGAACACCAGUGGCGAAAGCGGCCUCCUGGACCACUCCUGACACUCAGACGCGAAAGCUAGGGUAGCAAACGGGAUUAGAGACCCCGGUAGUCCUAGCCCUAAACGAUGUAGACUUGGCGUCGGUGGUUUAAACGCCAUCGGUGUCGAAGCUAACGCGAUAAGUCUACCGCCUGGGGACUACGGCCGCAAGGUUAAAACUCAAAGGAAUUGACGGGUCCCCGCACAAGCAGCGGAGCGUGUGGUUUAAUUCGUUGCUACACGAAGAACCUUACCUGGGUUUGACAUAGAGGUGGUAGGGAAGCGAAAGCGGACCGACCCUUCGGGGAGCCUCUACAGGUGUUGCAUGGCUGUCGUCAGCUCGUGUCGUGAGAUGUUCGGUUAAGUCCGCUAACGAGCGCAACCCUCGCUGUGUGUUACAAGUGUCACACGGUACUGCCGGUAUUAAGUCGGAGGAAGGUGGGGAUGACGUCAAGUCAGCAUGACCUUUAUAUCCAGGGCUACACACACGCUACAAUGGUCAGUACAAUAGGUUGCCAAGCCGCGAGGCGGAGCCAAUCCUAAAAAGCUGGCCUCAGUUCAGAUUGCAGUCUGCAACUCGACUGCAUGAAGUUGGAGUUGCUAGUAACCGCAGGUCAGCUAUACUGCGGUGAAUACGUUCCCGGGGAUUGACAUCACCGCCCGUAAGGGCG